UCCGAAUUCUAGAUAAACAACCUUAAAAACAUUCUGCUUUUGUAAUGCUACCCAGCUCAAUUUGCAUAAGUAGAGGACUCCUGUGUCAGCCGGCAAGGUUCAUGUACUUCAAUCCCCUCGUAUGAUUGCCAAGUUCUCAGAGGCAGAUGAUAAUGGCGAAAAACAUAUUAUACCGUGUAGAGCUAUAUUAGGUAAUGUUGAGAAAGUAGUAACAGGGUCUCAACAGUAUUAUCCUUCUGGUAUUGAGUUCUAUACCGGUGCUAAUGAUCCCAAGAAUCAUCCCAAGUGUUAUGUUGUUUGGUCGAGUGUUAUGAACAUGCAUAUUAUCCCUGAGUGUGUCGUGAGCUUCAAAUCUUCUAUUAACGUGCCAGGUAAAUUCUGGUUCCUCGUUUUCGUAAGUAUUUUUAUUGAUUGCUAUUUUUCUUUUUAAGAAGGUCAAGUGAAAGGAUCAACUUAUCCUCGAGAAGUUGUUUUCAAAUUUGAGGAGCUGGCUUCCUCCUGAAAAAUUUAGGGAAGUGGCCAAGCUAUAUGACGUGUAUGUAUAGGGGGAUGUUGUUCUGCUAUCUUCUAAAUGGGAGAUUCGUAGCUUGGAAUAAGGUUUUCUGGGUUUUUUUUUGGAUAGAUAAGUGCUACUUUCAGAAAGGCGUAUCAAAAUGAUAGAGCCACCAGCGAUGUCAUUUUACAGGAUUACCAUAGUUUUAGUGAUGAAAGAUUAUCAAGUGAAACUUCAAGAAUUACUUGAUAGUUUUUUUUUUUUUUUUUGAAAUAUAGAGCAGCAACUUUUUUUAGAUAAAUGGUAAAUAUGCUUGCAAUUUAUUUUGGAUUAUUUCAAUAUAUCACUGAUUUUUUUGGUGGUCUCUGACGAUUUCAAACCUGAUGAAUUGCGUAAGGCUGCUAUUAUGAUGUUGAAAAUGAGAUGCUGUAUUGUUAAUUGCAUACUAGUGUAUGCAAAGUAAGAUUCGGGAGAGGCAACAUCCAGUUUCUGUGAACAAGAAUAAUGUUUGUUCCAGAAUGCCUUGAUGAAUCUCUCUGUUCUAUAUUGCGUUACAAUUUCACUGAGGGCUUGGCGUGAGUUUGCAUCAAUUGCAUGCAUUAUCAUAUGCGGGUGUUGUUUUGACAUGGUGUUGGGCAAAAUUUGAUUAAUAAUUUCUAGUACAACUAUGAUGAACAUGAAUUUAAACAUGACCACCCUUGUUUAUAUUUAUUUGAGGAAUUAACUGUUGUGUGUUGUGGUAUCGUGUUUCCCUUCUAUGAGAUUUUAUAUCUCAGCAACGAUACUUUUACAGGCUUCUUAUAUCCAGUUGCCUGUUACCCUUCUACUGAAACUAGGAGAUUUGAAAUGAUUUCUGAUCCAUUUACCUGUGGUAGUCUGAGGAACUUUGGAAAACUUUGUUAGCAUGAAACAGUAGACUUCAAAGUAUUAUAUAUGCGGUUAUGUGACUGCAUGAUCUGUUUUUGAAUAAUCUAUAAAAUCUAUUUAACUGUACAUACAACUUCAACUCCAUGAUUUUGUUUUACAGGUUGCACUGCAUUUUAUAUCUUUUAUCCCUGUUUCUUUCUUCGUACACCCCAGUUAUUCAUUGUAACAUUGCAGGGUCUCAGUUGUGUACUAACGGAUAGAUUCCAUCUUCCGUUGUAUCUGUAUUCUGUAUUACCAAUUUUCAGUAGUUGCAUCGACUCUGCCUUGUAUUGGGCGAUUGCUGGUGUAGCUAGGUGUACUGGUGAUAAUUACUUGAAACGGCAAAGCUUGGUGGUGUUGUUUUACAGGUUGCACUGCAUUUUAUAUCUACCUAUGCAGCAUUUGCCUCUUUAUGUGAGAAGAAUGCUCCGGUUCUUUUUUAGAGCUCGUUUGAUAUUGUGAUAAUUGUUGUUUUUUAAAAUACUUUUCAUUAGGAAAUGUAUUAAAAUAAAAAAUUUUAAUUUUUUUCAAAAUUGGUUUUUAAUUUGCGUGCAGAUGCACUCCAUGAUAGGAAUAUACUUAGUAGAUGAUGAUACAAGCUUGUGCAGACGCUCUCUUACAGACUAAAAUAAAGGGAGCAUCCCCUCUCUGGUUUCCCCCUUGAUAUCUUCUGCAGAAAACUGGAUCUGCUCUUGCAUUUGUUUAUCUCAUUGAUUCAAAGAUAGGGAUAAUGAUGCUGGGUAGGAGGCGGCAUGAUAAGCGUGCAUCGAAAUAUUUUCAUUUUACUCUCCCAGGACUUGAUCCUCCUUCGUCAUUGCCAAUAAAGCUGUGCGGUGGGAAUUCAAGUUUGACUCAAUGCAUAUGCAUCACAGCAAUUCAUUUUGGCUGAUCCAAGAGCAGUUCUUGAUAUGCAGUGGCAUGAAGAAGUUUCCAAGGCGUUGCAGGGUUAAGAUGAGUCGUCAUGUCCGGUGAGACAUUAUUUUUGUUGCUGCCCUGUAGCUGAUUGAACUUGCAGGCAUGCAUCAUCUGGUGUUUAAGGGCUAGUGGAGUUAAUUGUCGGGGGUUUCACUGGCACGAAAUUGGAGCAAUGGAGUCCGAAAACACUCUUCCAAAGUCCUCUUGGGAAACUACUGCUCCUUUUUAUAAUUUUCGUGAAGUUUAUAUAUAUAUAUAUAUAUAUAUAUAUAUAUAUAUAUAUAUAUAUAUAUAUACAGCAUUUUUGCAGAAAGUUGAAACAUCUGGUUGGUUUACACAACAUACAAUAAUUAAGCACGGGAACUCUGCUCGAUCGUACAUGGCCCCGAUUCCACCUGCUCAUCACCAUAAACUGGAAGUUUCCAGGAAUGUUAGAACGAUAUACUGGAAAAAUAAGUUCAGCCGUGGUCCACUGGCAAACGACUAUUUAUUGACUAACAACACAGUGAAUUUCUUAAUCCAAUCUGAACUUGCUCAAGAGGGGCAUAAAAUAUAAAGAUCAUGCAGACCCCUUGGAAGAGACACUCACAUGUAGCUUGUUUAUCUUAAGCACAUGAGUUAUGGAUUCUCAAAUAUCAAAUGCAGUGAAAAUAAUAAAAUAAAAUUAUUUAAUAGUU
Populus nigra (black poplar) is the source of this 2991-nucleotide long non-coding RNA. RefSeq lists it as uncharacterized. The record is from RefSeq and is a predicted model, not a curated record. Lineage: Eukaryota; Viridiplantae; Streptophyta; Magnoliopsida; Malpighiales; Salicaceae. The transcript is spliced from 3 exons.